Biomphalaria glabrata is the source of this 1209-nucleotide long non-coding RNA. RefSeq lists it as uncharacterized. Lineage: Eukaryota; Metazoa; Mollusca; Gastropoda; Planorbidae. The record is from RefSeq and is a predicted model, not a curated record. The transcript is spliced from 4 exons.
AUUUCGAGCUUCUGAACCACAGACAUAUGAUACAAUAAAUAUAUAUAGGUCUUAGUUCUGAACUCACAUCUCCUUAUAAUGAGAAAAUCUGAAGUCAAAAAAGGUAAAGGGUAAGAUCACAGACCUACAUAAUCUAGAUUGUCGAAACAUGACAUUUUUUGUUAUCUCCAUGGAAACUAAAAGGCAAUAAACUUUUGAUUAUAUCAUAGAUUAGAUUUGAGUGAAAAAUUUCCGAAGUUCUGUGAUUAAUAGAUCUAGCCUCUUCUAGAUCUAUUUAACUAUUUAAAUUCCGCGAAAUGGGAUUGUAAUAUUUCUAAACUUUAAAGACUAAAGAUCAUUUUUUUUUUCUGAAAAUGAAGACCGAUUUCCAAGAUUUAGAAAUUAGAUAGAUAUAGAUCUAGAUAGAAUAGUUCUAGACUAGAUGAUAUUACUAUUACUAGAGUCUAGAUCUAGAUUAUAUAUUACAAGCUUAAUAGGAAAGCCUUGAUGCUGAAACCAAGAAGCACCAGCAUACCACAUGCUGGCUAAAUGAUCUUCAAUCUUGGCAUUUGCAAUGAGAUGUGAAAUAAAUAAACUAUGAAAUAAAAAAAAAGUACAAUCAUUAAAUUAAAUCAUCUAAUGUGAAUAAGCAUUUGUAGCAUGUGCAGGGGCGGACUGGCUAUACGGGCAUUCAGGCAAAUGCCCAGUGGGCCGGUAUCCAAAUGGGCUGGUAGGACUACAAUUUGAAAAAAUUAAAAAACACCAUUCAUGAAAUGUACAAAUUAUAUUUGUUUCUAUACUGCAUUCUUGGAGCUGCUGUUUAUAAGAACUCAGUUAUGUCUUCAUUUCAAAGUGUACAUUUAUUUAAAGGCAUUGAAGGAGUUGUGAAUGGAAUGAUUAUGUUUUAUGUAUUAGGUAUGUUCUGGGCUGAGUGCAAACAGUUAUGGGAGGAAGGUGUGAAAGGUUACUUCUCUCAGAUGUGGAACUACAUGGACAUCACCAUGUUGGCUUUGUAUACUGCUGGCUACUCCACUGAAGGUGUGAUCUAUACAAAAACCAAUGGAUACUUUGCUGACAACCAACUGAUUCACUGUGAAGAGUAUACUACUGCUGCAAACCUGCUACAUCAUACAAACAUUUCUUAGUGCACACUAUGAAGGGACACUACUUUUGAAUUUUUUGCCCCUUUUUCAAAUUUGGAUGCUGGCAGCUGCCAUGAUAUGAUUAUGA